AUGACGCGGUUCAACGUGCAAACCAAUGUGGAAAGAAAACAAAAAGAAAGGAGAAGAUCAAUUUCUAAAGAUGACGCGUCCAAGAAGGAUUUGCCAGUGCUGUCGGCUGGCGUCAAGUUCGAUCCCACGGAUCAGGAGCUAAUCGAGCACUUUGAGGCCAAAGUGACUGCUGACUGCGCGAGAUCUCACCCUCUCAUCGAUUUGUUCAUACCAACUAUCGACAGCAAGCACGGCAUAUGCUGCACCCAUCCUGAGAAACUUCCAGGUAUCACACUGAGUGGCCUAAGCAAGCAUUUCUUCCAGCGCAAUUCCAGGGCGUUCGAAAGGGGCACGUGGAUGCGUCGCAAGAUACACUCGGAGUGCGGCAUGCACACGAUGUGGCACAAGACCAACAAUACCUUGUCGAUGGUGGUCAAUGGCCGGCAGACAGGUAGCAAAAAGGUUCUGGUGCUGCACACUAACAAAAACUUCGACCAGCACAGGACCAACUGGGUGAUGCACUAG
This 504-nucleotide ribosomal RNA is filed under the name Triticum aestivum (bread wheat). RNAcentral's name for it is "partial small subunit ribosomal RNA". Lineage: Eukaryota; Viridiplantae; Streptophyta; Magnoliopsida; Poales; Poaceae. The record is from RNAcentral.